This 497-nucleotide ribosomal RNA is filed under the name uncultured bacterium. RNAcentral describes it as "partial 16S ribosomal RNA". It matches the Rfam family "Bacterial small subunit ribosomal RNA", at positions 28 to 507 of the family's 1533-position model. The record is from RNAcentral.
GAUGAACGCUGGCGGCGUGCCUAAUACAUGCAAGUCGAGCGAACGGACGAGAAGCUUGCUUCUCUGAUGUUAGCGGCGGACGGGUGAGUAACACGUGGAUAACCUACCUAUCAGACUGGGAUAACUUCGGGAAACCGUAGCUAAUACCGGAUAAUAUUUUGAACCGCAUGGUUCAAAAGUGAAAGACGGUCUUGCUGUCACUUAUAGAUGGAUCCGCGCUGCAUUAGCUAGUUGGUAAGGUAACGGCUUACCAAGGCAACGAUGCAUAGCCGACCUGAGAGGGUGAUCGGCCACACUGGAACUGAGACACGGUCCAGACUCCUACGGGAGGCAGCAGUAGGGAAUCUUCCGCAAUGGGCGAAAGCCUGACGGAGCAACGCCGCGUGAGUGAUGAAGGUCUUCGGAUCGUAAAACUCUGUUAUUAGGGAAGAACAUAUGUGUAAGUAACUGUGCACAUCUUGACGGUACCUAAUCAGAAAGCCACGGCUAACUACGCG